RNAcentral lists this small nucleolar RNA (121 nucleotides) under Echinops telfairi (small Madagascar hedgehog). Its description in RNAcentral is "Small nucleolar RNA SNORA61 (ENSETEG00000026065.1)". The record is from RNAcentral. Lineage: Eukaryota; Metazoa; Chordata; Mammalia; Afrosoricida; Tenrecidae.
ACCCUCUAGUUUCCUCACCCAUCAGAUGCAAACACUGGUCAGACUGAUUACAGAAAGAGGAAAAGGGAAAUUGAAAUUGACUUCGGUGCUUUUAUGGCAAAUGAGCUCGCUUCAAACAAGC